RNAcentral lists this ribosomal RNA (497 nucleotides) under uncultured bacterium. RNAcentral describes it as "partial 16S ribosomal RNA". It matches the Rfam family "Bacterial small subunit ribosomal RNA", at positions 899 to 1397 of the family's 1533-position model. The record is from RNAcentral.
ACUCAAAUGAAUUGACGGGGGCCCGCACAAGCGGUGGAGCAUGUGGUUUAAUUCGAUGCAACGCGAAAAACCUUACCUACCCUUGAAUCCUUGGAAUUGCACAGAAAUGUGCGAGUGCCGUAAGGAACCAAGAGACAGGUGCUGCAUGGCUGUCGUCAGCUCGUGUCGUGAGAUGUUGGGUUAAGUCCCGUAACGAGCGCAACCCCUGUUCAUAGUUGCUAACAGGAAAGCUGAGAACUCUAUGAAGACUGCCGGUGAUAAGCCGGAGGAAGGCGGGGACGACGUCAAGUCAUCAUGGCCCUUACGGGUAGGGCUACACACGUGCUACAAUGGUCGGUACAAAAGGUUGCGAAGUCGCGAGAUGUAGCUAAUCCAAUAAAGCCGAUCUCAGUCCGGAUUGGAGUCUGCAACUCGACUCCAUGAAGCUGGAAUCGCUAGUAAUCGUGGAUCAGCAUGCCACGGUGAAUACGUUCCCGGGCCUUGUACACACCGCCCGU